AAACAAAUUCAUCUCUCCUCUCCCCCCCCCCCCCUCAUUUCUCACGCCACUCUCCCCUCUCUCUUCUCCCUCACUUCUUUCUCUCACUAUCACCAUUGAAGGAUAAUUUCCAAGCUUCUCAAAUCAUAUCUACACCAUAGAUAUCCAUUAAAUCAAGCUUUAAACAUCUUUGAUCCUUGAAUUAAGAGCAACUUUGGAGGGAUUCUAAAGCUUGAAGUCAAGAGGAGGAUUUUAUUAUUCUACUCAAGAAUCAUUGAGAUAAGCGAGGAGGGAGAUUGGACUGGUGCUGGCAGGGGUUUUGUUUCGGAUGAUCGUCAUUAUACCGUAAUUAUUUUCCUUGCGGUAACAUCAAGAUGUUGAGGUUUAUUUUGAACUUAAUCAAUAAAUUUACUCCCGGCUAUAUGUCUUCAUACAUAUAGUCUGUUCGCAUUUUGCUGCGAUACUCUGUAUAUCCCGAGUCAUUGUGAGUAAUUAGCUAUGUCUACUUUGUAAAGGUUGACAAGAAUCUCGAUGAUUUAAAAGUUAUAAAGGCAAUCAUAUUUUUAUU
Long non-coding RNA from Salvia miltiorrhiza (redroot sage), 547 nucleotides. RefSeq lists it as uncharacterized. The record is from RefSeq and is a predicted model, not a curated record. NCBI's taxonomy places the organism in Eukaryota, Viridiplantae, Streptophyta, Magnoliopsida, Lamiales, Lamiaceae. The transcript has 2 exons.